CCGCCUCCUCCGUCCACCUCUCCUCCAUCGACCUGCAAUUCCUCCCCCAGCCACGCUUCCGCAGGUCGGCCUGCACCACCUCCUCUGCCAGACCUGCAGCGUGGUCGACCUGCACCACCUCCUCUGGCCGACCUACAGCGCUUCAGCCACCGUGGCCAGCCUGCACCAUCUCCUCUGGCCGACCUGCAGCACCUCAACCACCACGGAAAACAGCAGCUCAUCACCUCGCGGUGGCGCCUCGACCCUACCGGGUGGUCGGCCCACACUCGACGACCUGCAGCGCCGCCGGAGCGCGCAGGAGCGUGGCCGGCUAGGGAGAAAGCCCGCAGCAUGGCAUGGCAGAGUUGGAGUGGUGCACGAGCUGACGGGAUUCUAUUUUCUCUCUGGUGGCUCAUACCAGAUCAGUUGAGGUGGCCAUACAACCUCUUCUCUAAUUUCCGGUGACACUCUUGCCGUGCUGCUGGAGUUGUCCACGGAUUGCCCAUUUUUGCAUUCGGCCGCCAGUGACAUGGGUUUUUUUUUAGUUUGGCUGGUACAUGCUGCUCCCGGUUGAGGCUGCCAUGGGAAGGUGCACUUUUAAACAUGCAGUAAUUGUUGCAGGCUGGUUGGUUUGAUGGAUGAGUUGUCAGGUCAUUUUUACGGUUUAACAGGAUCAGCUAGCAAAUUCGCCAAGGC
This is a non-coding RNA of Lolium perenne, 675 nucleotides long. NCBI's taxonomy places the organism in Eukaryota, Viridiplantae, Streptophyta, Magnoliopsida, Poales, Poaceae. The record is from RefSeq and is a predicted model, not a curated record.